UGAUGGGAUUGUGAAUGAGGAAGGGAGUGUUAAGGAAGGGAGUAGGUUGAGCAUGGUAUAGGAGUAUCUGAUUGACACGCCCAUUCUAAAGCUGGAUAUCAACAACAUUUUUAAAUGGGACAAGGUCAAGGGUGCUGACAUGGUGGAAAGGUCAAAUAGUUUCUCAGUACCUUGUAAACACCAACAGAUGACCAUCAUAGCCUGCUCUGGAUGUCAGCCAGCAGUGAGGACAGAUGUGGAACUUGUUUUGAAAUGAAUGAUGUCAAUUAUUUUUUAUAUUAUAAUUAAAGCAUUUGAAAUGUAUCGACCUGCAUGGGUACCUGCAUGGGUAAACACAAUAUGAUACGUUUUGUAUAGCUUGAUUUCCCCUUAAUAUACUGUCUGUUUUAUUUAUCAAUUUUAAUGAGGAAAAAACUGAAUGUGUUUCUUUAUUAGAAAUAAUGUGUGCUGUUUUAUAAACGUG
This is a long non-coding RNA of Oncorhynchus gorbuscha (pink salmon), 463 nucleotides long. RefSeq lists it as uncharacterized. The record is from RefSeq and is a predicted model, not a curated record. The transcript has 3 exons. Lineage: Eukaryota; Metazoa; Chordata; Actinopteri; Salmoniformes; Salmonidae.